GGGCGCAAGCCUGAUGCAGCGACGCCGCGUGAGGGAUGACGGCCUUCGGGUUGUAAACCUCUUUCAAUAGGGACGAAGCGCAAGUGACGGUACCUAUAGAAGAAGGACCGGCCAACUACGUGCCAGCAGCCGCGGUAAUACGUAGGGUCCGAGCGUUGUCCGGAAUUACUGGGCGUAAAGAGCUCGUAGGUGGUUUGUCGCGUUGUUCGUGAAAACUCACAGCUUAACUGUGGGCGUGCGGGCGAUACGGGCAGACUAGAGUACUGCAGGGGAGACUGGAAUUCCUGGUGUAGCGGUGGAAUGCGCAGAUAUCAGGAGGAACACCGGUGGCGAAGGCGGGUCUCUGGGCAGUAACUGACGCUGAGGAGCGAAAGCGUGGGGAGCGAACAGGAUUAGAUACCCUGGUAGUCCACGCCGUAAACGGUGGGUACUAGGUGUGGGUUUCCUUCCUUGGGAUCCGUGCCGUAGCUAACGCAUUAAGUACCCCGCCUGG
This 493-nucleotide ribosomal RNA is filed under the name Mycolicibacterium fortuitum. RNAcentral describes it as "bacterial SSU rRNA". It matches the Rfam family "Bacterial small subunit ribosomal RNA", at positions 373 to 876 of the family's 1533-position model. Lineage: Bacteria; Bacillati; Actinomycetota; Actinomycetes; Mycobacteriales; Mycobacteriaceae. The record is from RNAcentral.